Long non-coding RNA from Myotis lucifugus (little brown bat), 962 nucleotides. RefSeq lists it as uncharacterized. Lineage: Eukaryota; Metazoa; Chordata; Mammalia; Chiroptera; Vespertilionidae. The transcript has 3 exons. The record is from RefSeq and is a predicted model, not a curated record.
GGGUGAAACAAUCAACACUGCCCACGAAACGAAUAGAGAGCACAGCCACUCUCAGGUGGGAACAAAGGCAACCGCUCUUUCCCAGAGGGAGCGUCCUCUCCCCGCCUGGAUGCCCUCGGGAUCCUCCCCCACCUGGCACUUCAAUACCCUUCUGCUUUCCAACAGGAAACACGUUCAAGCCUCCAGCCGCCACCACACACCUCGAAGCCAAACGGACAUUCACCAGCCAGGGGACUGGGCAUUUAGAGCAACGUCCUUCGGUGGGUCCGUGAACUCGGCGGCUUACUCCACAAAUAAGCCUGAGGCCACGGAGGCCACUUGGGCCAAGCAGCCCUGGGUCCUGUGGCCGCAGAGUGGCCCUGAACCUGGCCAGCCGAUGCCUGCCACCAGAAGAGAGAUCUGAAAUGGGCGACAGGAGUGCUGAGGCAGAAAGAGCCACUCCAAACUGUAAAAUUGGGAUGGAUUCAUAACUCAUCACGCUAACAGCUCCCCGUGAGCGUGCAUGCAGGCACACGCACCAAGCGCUGGGCUCGGUGUCUCAGACGCCUCGGCUUGAUUCCUUCAAACAACUCCACGGUGGCAUUGGGGUUACUUCUAAGACCGACUGCCUCUUCAUCCUGCCUGCAGCUGCUUCUUUCGUUGUUCUGAGUUUGUAUAUUUUGAUCUUCUUGAGUAUCCCAGGUAAUUACGCAUUCUCCACAGGGAUGUGUUUGAAUAAUCAUGUCUUUUUCACACACGGCUUCAUGAGAAUGUUGAGUCUUUUCUACUGUAAUUGCUUACAAUUCAAGCUUGAAAUGCAGUCGUUUUCCAGCCAUCAUUAGGGAGUGAGCACGGUGUAACGAUCGAGAGUAUGGCUCUGAGGCCAUGUGGUGCUGCCAAGUAAGUGGCCUUCUGUUAAAUGGGGCGCAAUAGCCCUGAUCUCAGAGGGUGGUAGUGAGAAAUGGAAGAAUUAAUGUUUAUAA